GCUGCUGAUGGAGAAGCUCUGUGUCUGAGUCCAAGACAAAGUCAUUAUAAAUGGAAAAACACUGGUUUGCCAGAGAAGCUCGGUUCAAAGCGGCUCCUGUCAUCUCAUAGUGGGUAAGGCUGAAACAAAACCUCCCAGUGGGACAGUGACAGAUACAGUGCACACAGUGAAGUUGUUGAAAAUGACAGGGCUGAUGUGCUGGAAAACCCAGAGGCCAAAAAGCUCCAUUAUUUUGUGUACUCAUUACUGGAGAGCUGUGGUUUGUCGCAGAACUGUAUUUUAAAUUGUAGUGAUUUCUUCCAAGCAUACUGUAUGUGGGUUAAAUUUGCACCGCCUGUCCUCCUCACCUCCUGUUUUCUUCCUCUUCUCUUUAUUUCUCAGCAGUGACAGUGACUGUACUUAGACAGUUUUCAGUUCAAAGGUCAUCUCCGUGUCUGACAUGAGUCGGAGUUGGUGGACCGGUCCGGCACCGAGGAGAAGCGGCUCGGUGUUCAGUCAGCGGAGGAGUCAGAGACAAAGAUGGGGAGAUGAACGAAGCAGCAUCUGUUUCCAUGACAGCUGCCUGCAUUCGGCCGUGGAGCCAGUCUCCCACCUCCUGCGCUAACAACACAGCAGCAUGCUCGGAUCAGGAGCCCCGUCGCCACGGGGAACCACAGCUUGAUUGAUGGCAACUGCAUCUACGCCAUCAGCUUCCCUGUGAGAAUCCAAAAUGGCUGCCUGUUUCCACGGCGACAACAGACAUGCCCCCCCGCCAUGGAGAUGAAUGGAAACUCUUGUGAGUCAGAGGUCACAGAACUCUUCGUCCCUCUGAGAAAACCAGUGAAGAAGAGUCCAUCUUCACCUCCUCUUCAUCAGCCGGUCGCUUCUCUUCAACCCCCCUUUCCUCCAGUGCUGCACCCGUGCGAGAUAGGAAGUGACCUACAUAGCGUGGCGGCUCCCUCGCCUUGGCUGUCAUUUGCAUUUCAAGGGGUGAUGAAUAAUUUACACACACAUAUACUCACAGUUACGAUUCCCAAAUCUCCCCAUCCGAACACUGAACGUACAUCCCGCUGCAACAUGACAGGCCUCAAUAAUGUUAGAUAA
Molecule: long non-coding RNA, 1083 nt
Filed under: Mastacembelus armatus (zig-zag eel)
Lineage: Eukaryota; Metazoa; Chordata; Actinopteri; Synbranchiformes; Mastacembelidae
Description: lncRNA (ENSMAMG00000028104.1)
Source: RNAcentral